UGGGGAAUAUUGGGCAAUGGGGGAAACCCUGACCCAGCAACGCCGCGUGAGGGAAGAAGGUUUUCGGAUUGUAAACCUCUGUCCUUGGUGAAGAGAAGAAGACGGUAGCCAAGGAGGAAGCCCCGGCUAACUACGUGCCAGCAGCCGCGGUAAUACGUAGGGGGCGAGCGUUGUCCGGAAUGAUUGGGCGUAAAGGGCGCGUAGGCGGCUUUACAAGUCUGGAGUGAAAGUCCUCUUUUCAAGGGAGGAAUUGCUUUGGAAACUGUAGAGCUUGAGUGCAGGAGAGGUUAUCGGAAUUCCCGGUGUAGCGGUGAAAUGCGUAGAGAUCGGGAGGAACACCAGUGGCGAAGGCGGGUAACUGGACUGCAACUGACGCUGAGGCGCGAAAGUGUGGGGAGCAAACAGG
This 406-nucleotide ribosomal RNA is filed under the name uncultured prokaryote. Its description in RNAcentral is "bacterial SSU rRNA". It matches the Rfam family "Bacterial small subunit ribosomal RNA", at positions 355 to 776 of the family's 1533-position model. RNAcentral also lists the same sequence under 1 other name. The record is from RNAcentral.